This is a long non-coding RNA of Coturnix japonica (Japanese quail), 8842 nucleotides long. RefSeq lists it as uncharacterized. Lineage: Eukaryota; Metazoa; Chordata; Aves; Galliformes; Phasianidae. The record is from RefSeq and is a predicted model, not a curated record.
AUCCUGUGGACAAGGGUUUCACCCGUCACUGCUGGGAAUAGCUGCGUGGGUUAGGAAGAACUGCAGGAAGGGCUGCAGUUUGACACCACCACGUCCUGCCAGGGGGGCAGAAAGCACAGCCCAGCAGCCAAUGGUCACUGAUAGCAAGUUGUGCUGGUGGGCAGUUUGGUAUUUCGGAGCCAUCUGAAGGGGUUGUGAUCUGUCAUAAUUCAGUUCCACCACUCAGCCCUGUGUAAGACAGAAAUCAAGUCCUCUCUAUGAAACUUUUCUGCUAGAGAGGAUUCACAAAAGCAUCCUCGCUGCAGCAAUGCUGAUAGUGGCUGGGCACACCACCAUCCUUCCCUUCAGGCUCUCCAUUCCUUCAUCUUUCUCGCUGUUCUUUGCCCUCCAUCCAACACAAACAUCUCCCCUAUGCCAGAGGUGGGGCUUUGGGGAUUUGUUACCAGCAAAUCCCUGCCUUACGUAAGCAGCUGCUGUUUUCUAACUGUUUCCUCACUUUACAGCAAGGAUCAGCUGGGAUUUCUCACUUUUGUGGGGCUCUGGGAGAAGGGAUGUCCCUAAAAUGUCCUGCACCAUCAGCCCUGAGCACAGCCAGAGCCCAGGGAGCAAGUGUUGGCAGCAUCCUCUUGUCACCCUUGGGCUGGUACUUGUCGAUAGGCACGGAUCAGUCUUGCAAAGAAAGGUUUAGAAGGGAUCAACUGAAAGCAAAAUGUCACCAUGGAGUCCCAGCUCUGCUUAUUUACACACUUGGCUUUUCUAAGAGGAAAACAGCCAGGCGUGUGCGUCCUGCUCCGAGAUGCUGACAGGAGACAUCCGCUCCAAGAGCUCCCCUCAGCUGGGACCUGAACUCGUGCCACGUGCCUGAUUUACGUGGGACUCAGCAAUCCUAGAGCAAAAAGGAUUCCACAGCCAGAGAAAAAUAUGUCCUGUCUCAGUUUACUAUGCCUUAAAUGCUGCAUUUGUCUUCCCUUGUGCUGUUUGGCCACGCAAGGAAAAGUGUUCUGCUGGAAGUGGAGCUGAUUGUGCAGGGUGAGCAGCAUUGCCUACACCUUUCCUGGGGUUCUCCAUGCUCCAAGCUGCCCAGGAGCUUCCCAUCUUUGUCCCCUGAAGCUAAUGAAGCUGCCUUCACUCACAUUAAUCCAAGACCCAAAGAAGUAGAGUUAUGACCAUGCAUCCUCUCGGCUCAACCAGUUCCCCUCACUGAAUGGUGAUGGCACAUCACAACGGCUCCAGACAGGAGCCCUGCCAGGAUGGCUGUUUGCUCAAGGUUGCUUUUGGGAGCGGCCGGAGGUGCCCACAUAAAAGCUGCCAGGGAGCAGGUUCAAACUCCAGGGAAAACCAGUAACCGCACCAGCAAUCCCUGCCCAGCUCACCGGAGAGAAACACUCAUCCCCUCCGUGUCCCCUAUCCCACUGUCGGCUCCAUGACACCAAACCGCGGGCGUUCUCCCUGAGCAGCAGCCAAAAGAAAGCAUUGUAAGGAGAAAACGUCAGGACUGAAUUACAGAGAUUAGACAGUGGACAACAGGACAGGUCCAAGACAUUACAAGCAGAGAAAAGCUGGAAAAUGACACUCAGUUAUGAAGAGACUCUUCAAUGUCAUCUCCUCUGACAGGGGGAGUGACAACCAGACAGGAUGAGAAGUAGCAGAGGAGGAAAGUUGAGAAGCUGGUGGUAUUUCUGAAACCGGUGAGCCAUAUUUCCCCCAAUUUGAUUUGGUCUCUCCUGGGAUCUAUAAAGAAAUGAAGAGGAAUUAUGAGCCAAGGAGCUGUGCAGGCUGGAAAAAAAAAACGUAUCCAAACUCAUCAAGCAAAUGGAAAGUCAGGACAGGCCCAAGAAAUGAGAUCCAAGUGGGAAGCCCCGGAGCCAGCCAGCAAGUUAAACGUCAUGGGCACUUGUUUGUGCUUCUCCUCCCAGCCCCACCUCAGGCAGACGGGCUGGGUUUGGUACCCAGCUGCACCAUGAAGGAACGUUGUAGUAUCAGGUUGUAUGAUACCCCAUACCCAUGUGUCAUGAACUUAGGGGGAUGACUCAGCCUCACUGAUUCAUGCAGGCUAGAAUAAGCUUCAUCCCAGGGACACAGAAGAAUUUGAUACCCCUACUCUCAUCCUCCACCAUGUGAUCUGUGAGAUCAUAGGAUGGCCUGUGUUGGAAGGGACAUUAAAACUCAUUCCAUUCCCACCCCAUGCUGUGGGCAGGGUUACCACCCAUUGGAAUAGACAGUGCAGGGUCCAUCCAGCCUGACCUUCAGGAACCUCCAGGGAUGGGGCACACAUGCUGCUCUGGGCAUCCAUCCGGGAUGCAGUGCUCCAGAUGGGCCUUUGCAAGGACAUGUAAGUACACUUGUUAAGUUUGUCCAGGUUGUUUUGGAGGGCAGAACUUCAUUACAAAUGAAUAUCAGAGGUGCAGGUGCUCCAGCACGAGAGCUGUUCAGUUGUGGCCUCUUUUGAGGAGCAGCCUUUCAGAGGAAGAUUACACAAAGCAAAUCAUCCCAAAAGUGGUGAUCCCAAAUUGUCUCAGCUUCUCCACCUGUCUGGAUCUACAUAGAUCCAUUACACUGAUCCACAUUCAACUUGAUUGCUGCUGCUCAUGGAUGAGCACUCAGACCCCCAUGGACCGGAGCUGGUGGGAACAUGAAGAUGAUUUCCUUGCAUUACUCACUUCCCAAGAACACUUCCCAUAGAAGAGUUGCUCAUAAUUUCCUUUUUUGUUUGUCGGUUUUUCGCUGUCAAUGCCAUUCAGUCUCACACUGUGCAGCCUGGAGAGAGAAUUUCCUUAGAAGUCCUGCUGGGGUAGGAGGAAGCAGGAAAAAGCAGCCUGGAAAAUGAUUAGAUCUCACACCAUUUAACUUUAUUUUUAAACUUAACUGUAAAGGACAAGUCCUGUUUCCAGUAAGGCUGGUGCUUGUGCAUGCUGAUGCAUACUGUGUUCUGGAGCCAGCAGCAUCACCCUGCUUUGUUCCCAUAUAACUGUGGCCAGAAUGGGGCUGCAGGGCUCAGCCUAUGGCCUCCAUCUGCCAUAACGCAAUCAAACUUACCGAGGGUGGUCACCUUCCUACCAUUGCCAAGUGAAAAUCCAGCUCAGAAAAGCACCACCGCCAUCCAAUCCCUAUAUCUUGACUGUCCACUCUUCCUUGUUCUACCUUCCUUGUUGGGUCGAUCCCAAAUCACAAGGUCUGAUUUGCACACACAGUGUAUGGCAGAGCUCUGCCCGCAGGGAGUUUGGUGGUGGCUGCAGCUGCCGGGAUAGAUGCAAUAUCCUCUAAGGCAAAUCACAGCUGGAACAAACAGGCGGGUUUGGAACACAGCCUUUCUUCAGCUCUACAUAAAAGCUUUUGUUUGGAGGGAGCUAUCUAUAUAUGGGAAUUUGGAAAUUCCCCAUUUGGAAAGGAAGCAAAGCAGCCCUGUAAGUGAUGGGAGAAGGAUGGGGCAGGAGCUUCCCUGGAGCCGCAGGUGGGCAGCAGUCAGGCUGGGCAUUGGGAGCUCAGGCUGUGUCACAGUGGAGGUCUCAGCAGCUCCAGGCUGUGUUUGUGCAGGGUGUGAAUGGGGAAAUCUGCCGACCCCAGCAGUGCCCUGCAGCAGGAUCAGUCCCCGUGCUGGCAGGUCUCAGUUAACACUGUGUCGUGCCAUCUGCAGGUUCAAGUCAGCUCUUAUUUCUGUUAUGACUUCGGAGACAAACUACAAAAAUAGUUCACUCCUGGCACUCCCCAGCUGUAUUUAUCCUCAGAAGUUGCCCAAUGACCCCCAGCAACUCUACAGCAAGACAUGAUUUGGCUGAUGCUUCAUCCCAAAGCAUCCUGAAGUCACCCAGCACAGAACUGCAGUCACUCUUGGGAUGAAGUGUGGCACAUUUUCAACCACAUGCAGCAGCAUUACACCAAAACUUUGGAGAUGGGAGGAAGUUACAGAAGGGUUUUAUGCUAUGAGAACACAGCUGCUCACAUUGGAGCCAUUGGAAAAGCCUUCUCCCAUCACAAGCACUGCAGAAGUGGCUGUGGACCCUCUUCAGAGCCAGGCAGCACCCAGAAGGAUGGAAACACUGUGUGGGCCUUUCUGCUGUUUCCCUCCAGCACCGAGUCACACCAGGACACAGUGUCCUAGUUUUCUGUUUCAGCCGCUUAUGUGGAAUGAAGGAAUUUGUGGAACGAGCAUGCAGGUAGACACAGGCACAUCACAUGGCUAAUGCAGAGAGGGACAAUGUUCUCUGAGCAAUUUUCUGCUCAUGCCAAGGAUCUGAACCCCUCUGACUCCUGCAUGCCAUGCAAUGUGCUCCUCGGGCUGUGUGAGGUCCGGACAAGGCAUGCUUGGAUGGUAUGGAAGGAGUCAGCUUGUCACAAACUGCCAGCCCUCAGCUGGAUCCCAGACACCAAAGUGACUGCACUGAACCUGUGGGUCAUCACAGUGAACUAAAAACUCUCAGAGCUGCAGCUGGGCUAGUUAUGUUUACGAGCUCACAAAAUGACACAGAGUUCAACCAGCUCCUUGCUUUUGCCUCGCCUCUGAGAUCUGCAGUGCUUUAUAUGCGUAGGAACAAGUGAGCUCAUUUGCAGAGUUCCAGGAGCGGGUCAAAGAGCAACCUGAUACAGAGGUGGAAAAUAAGCAGGAGGGCUGGCUGCCAGCAGCGUAGUGCAGAGCUGAAGCUUUUGGGCCUGACCUGAGUGUGCCAGCCCUCUCCCUCUCACCAUCUGAAUUUAGGGCAUCUCAGACCAAUCUGUUUCACCUUUUCCUUUUUAGGAGAAGUUCUACUUAUCAUCUGUCCGACAGCUCACAGCUGGGAGCAGCUGCCUCACAGACCCAUGGCAUUGAAGGGGUAAAAUAAGAAAAACAGCAAAAGAAACCCACAAAAACCAGAAGCAGAAGUGGCUCAUUGCUCGUUAAGUGGCUUCUGGAUUUCUCUUGAUGGAAAUGGAUAGGCAGCACCUCUGGCACUGUCUCUCCCAGUUACAGAAGAGGCUUCGCUGCUGCAUGCAGCUGGCUGAGCAAAUGGCUGCUGAGUUAUUGUGGCAAUUCUUCAUCCUUUAUUUAGUGCAUCCUCAUCCUCUCUCCAUGCUAAAGCUGCCAGGGCUGUCCACAUGUGCCAAGGAGGAGCUGGCAGCAGAGAGCUCACUACUUCACUGCUCCAGUCCUGUGUUUUAAAGCCACAACAUCAGUAUAAUGAGAGGAAGGUGUGGAUGUGCAACAACUGACCUCUGGAGUCUGAGACUGUACAGGAGCCACGUUCUCCAUCCCUGGCUUCCAACCAUGAGGUUGUAUGAGAGCACGGCGAGAUCGAUGGAACAGCACACAGCGCUCGUGCCUGGUUGCACAGACUCCACUUUUCAUGUGGAGCCAUCUGGGGGUCCCCAGCAGAGAUCCUCCAACACUUCAGAUUCCUGCCUCAUUUCCUCAUACAUUUUUUAUUGCAAUUUCCCCAGCUGGACCCAGACUGGGGUCUCAUUUUGCAUUCCUGGAGCCAGAGAAGCUCUGAAACUUGGAGCCACCUUUAAGCAAUACAGAUGAGGUAUGGAUGCAGCUGUCUGUUUUGAAUCCAAAGGCUAUUCUUUGGAGUGGAUCUCUUUCCUUAUUGCUCGACUCUUAUCUCCUGUCUCUAUCCUGUUAGGAAAGCUCAGACAAUGUGGAAAAAGCCAACUUUAAGAGGACCUCCUUAGAACUCUGUUUCCUGAGGAAUUCCCAACUACACAAUAAGCUAUGACUUACAGAGCAGCCAGGUCUUGGCCUCUCUCAACAAUUAUAGCCUCUUGGCCUGUCAGCCUAGGGGAAAGGAGAUGACCUGGAGCAAUUUGAACACACGUACAAGAGAGAUAUGCAGCCUGGAGAGCAGCCUGCAUGCUGUGAGAUGCACAUUUGGCCAUCAUCCUGGACCGGGGCUCCUGGUUUGACAGAUAGAGGGAAGCUGUCCAAGACAUUGAUGAACGGGCCUCCAAGCACCCAUCAAGUUGCAUCCAGUCACAACAGGAAGGGGAAGCGGUUCGUGGUUGUGAGUUCCUACCAGGAGGGACAGCCUGGCCCCUGCCUCACGCACAGCUGCAGGAACACUGGCCAAGCUGCACUCCCUGAUCCCAGCCUGGAAUUCAGAGGAUAUCAAGGCCAAUUUCUCAUCAGACCCCAUGCCAGGUGGCAGUCAGACCCUCUCUAUCCCAAGCUCUGCCAGUAGUCUUCUGGUGGGGGCAGUAAACAAAGGUACUAUUCAGAUUAUGCCAGUAGACUUUGAGACACAAGAAGUUUGGUUUGAGUGUGUUACCCAAAAGACGGUGUGCUUUGAUUCAAUGGGUUCAGCACAUAGAGGGGCACAACCAGACCCAUCUAGCACAGGGACUAGCAGAGUCCUGCACUGUGGAGGGCAUUUCUCCUUUUCAGCUGAACUUCCAGGGCUUGGAACAAGGCUGCCUGUACAAGAAGCAUUACAGAGGGCUCAUUACCGCUCAUCUGCAGCUUUUCAGCCCUUCUCAGUAGGGGGACAAAGCCAUCUGAGCAGGAGCAAGGCUCCAAGGACAAAACAAUUAUCCUUUUUGUGUAAGCCUAGCAAAGCAGCUGGGGAGCGAGUGGGAGGGGAGGGAACAGCUCCUGCCCCGUCUGCAGGGCUCCUCCAGCAACACUGGGAGCUUCUUCACCCAACACAUGGCUGGAUCUGAUGCCAUACAGCAGCAGUGUGUAUAGAAGUCGUGUUAUUCAACUUGAGCUUGUCAACGGUGAGACUGAAAGGAGAGAACAAGUUUGGAGCGAUGAGAAAGGAAGGGGGAAAAGGAGUUCCAUCCAUCAGCAGGUUGUUAUUUACAAUGGAAAGAAAAGGUAGGACAUGGGGGCUAGGUUGGAAAUCCUGUUUCAUAAACAAGACUAUCCAGGAUAAAGCCUGUCCAGGAAACAUGCCUGAGGGACACAGGGGGGCUCAGCUGGAAGCUCUACUGCUGACAUCCAUCCUCCCAUCAUGAGCCCUGCCAGCCUUGUACUCCUCCCACGUCAGGCUGGGGAAAUAGUUGUAAUUCCAGCAGCCCAUAAAGAAAGAGGUGACUUGAUGCAUGCAAAUCAAGCAGAACAAUUCCCUUCUAUUUUGGGGAUAAGAGGCUGUUGUUCUACAGCUGGGUGCCGUAAUGUCUGACCCAUGGACGAAAGAGCAAAUGCUUUCCUUGCAGACCAUUGGUGCUAUUGAGCUGGGAUGUCCUGUCUACUAUCCACCCUUCCUUGGAGGCACAGGCUCCCAGCAGCAGCUUCUCUGUGUACAAAGCCAGGCUGGAUGCCUCCCUGCAGCCGUUCUGAGAAGGCUGCUCCCAAGCUGGAACCCAGAGGAGCAUCUUGUCUGCAGGAAGAUACAUGGCUCACGUUGGUAUGAGCAUGAGAUUGUGCAAGGGAGAGCGUGGCCACUGGCAUCCCAGCCCUGCUGCAUAGCCCUGGGUCAGCAUUCCUGGUAGGACAGGGCAGGGACAAAAGGGAUGGCAUGCAGUUCCCCACAAGAGUUACGAAAACAAGCCUUCUUCAGCAGUUAUUCACCCGACUUUCAUCCACAUCCAUCCAAGCUGACUGCCAAAUUUCCUGAAGCCAACAUUGUGCAUCCCAGCAGAGAUGAGAGUGGGGCCAGAACCCCGGCAUAUGAAGGAUGAGAACUCACAGUUAUACUGUGCUCGUAGCUACCUGCCAUAAAUCUGGCACAAAGCAGCUGUUGCCAGUGAUUCAUGAUGGGGAUAUAUCCAGCUCAAGGUAAGCUGCCCGCUUGGCACUGACUGCUGGCACCUUCAGCUCUUUCUGGGUAAGUUUUUGUUAUAUAUCUUGGAAAUUCGUGCUGCAAAAAUGAAUACUCCUGGCUCAAAACCCUUGUAGCCUCUUAUCAGACCAGAGGCUUGAUUAAAAAUAACUAAACAAAUUAAAACUGCCUUCCUCUUCAGAAGGAUGCCAGGUUCAGCUGUGCUGAGCUCCAGAACAAAGCCUUUGUGAGGGUUUAAGGAGUGCACACACAGCAGCCUCCUGCAGCAUCUGUAGGCACAGUCCCCAGCUGGCACAGCUGUCCCAAGGCAGAGGAUAUCAAGGGGGCCUCUGUUCUAAGGACAGAGAGCUCAGGGCUGUGGUCUUACUGCUGUGCUGUAGUCAUGCUUUGCUGUACCAGGGCUUACCCUGAGAUCUGCUGUGAUGUAGAGAAGUGGCUCCAGCUGACAGCAGAAUGUAGGUGUUCCUUCAUUCACAGUCCAGGGAGCUCUUUGAUGCAUAUACACUGUAUGAUAUUCUGCAAGAUGCUUUAUGAACCAUAUGGAGCUGUGUAAGGGGUCUUCCAGCAGAGUUAUUGGUCAGGUUCUGCACCUUGGGAAGUGAGUUCAGGCUGCAAGUCAGACCAGGAAAUGAGCAAUACAGCUUAUUCUGUGCUCCCACCUUGCAAAGAUCUCUAACAAUAGAAAAAGCCUUAAAAUGCAAAAUCUGUGUCCCUCCAAACAUUCAGGCUCUGGAACAGACUUGUUCGCUCAGUGCACAGAAGCAUUAAGCAGUAAUUUGAACUGUAAAUGGGACAUAUCAGACCAGUUUCACCUGAAGAACCGUGGAGGUGGUUUAGCUGAGACUGGUUUGCUGCAGCUGCCAGAAUGGGCUAAAUGGUAACAAGGGCUGGUAGAACAGCUCAGUUGUACAUUCAGAUGGAGCCAGCAAAGCUGAUAUAUUACACUGCUGGCCAACAGCACAGUGCUCUGCUGGAGUCCAGAGUUCAGUCUCUUACCAUCACAAAACAGCACAAUGGCCAAAGCCCCAACCAAUGGCUCUAACUGCUCAGAGCUCCAGCUUUGAUUCACCUCCAGCUUUCUCUGUCCCCAUCUGUUUGGUGGCUGGGCUGAGUACCAGCCUGUGCUACAACCCAAUUCACUUUUAUCU